Molecule: ribosomal RNA, 459 nt
Filed under: uncultured bacterium
Lineage: Bacteria
Description: bacterial SSU rRNA
Rfam family: Bacterial small subunit ribosomal RNA
Source: RNAcentral
GGGCCCGCACAAGCAGUGGAGUAUGUGGUUUAAUUCGAAGCAACGCGAAGAACCUUACCAGGUCUUGACAUCCCAAGAAUCCUGUAGAGAUACGGGAGUGCCUUCGGGAGCUUGGAGACAGGUGGUGCAUGGUUGUCGUCAGCUCGUGUCGUGAGAUGUUGGGUUAAGUCCCGCAACGAGCGCAACCCUUACGGUUAGUUGCUACGCAAGAGCACUCUAGCCGGACUGCCGUUGACAAAACGGAGGAAGGUGGGGACGACGUCAAAUCAUCAUGCCCCUUAUGACCUGGGCUACACACGUACUACAAUGGCGAUUAACAAAGGGAAGCAAGGCAGUGAUGCGGAGCAAAUCCCCAAAAAUCGUCUCAGUUCAGAUUGCAGGCUGCAACUCGCCUGCAUGAAGUCGGAAUUGCUAGUAAUCGCAGAUCAGCAUGCUGCGGUGAAUACGUUCCCGGGCCUU